GGAACUUCAACUUUAUCUAUGUUUCGAUUUUUCCAUUAAAAGAAAAAAAACAGGGCUGGAUUUGUGACUCAGUGGUAGCUCACUUGUCUAGUGUGUGUGAGGCACUAGGUUCAAUCCUCAGCACUACAUAUAAAUAAUGAAUAAAAUAAAUGUCCAUAAAUAUCUAAAAUAAUAUUUAAAGGAAAAAACAUGAUAAAACAUUAAUAGUAAGUCUGGAUUUUGGUCAGUGCAUUCUUAAAAUUUAUCACUACAUUGUUCAAGUUAAAAGUUACUUUAUUUGAACUAAUGCAUGUCCAGGUCUUCAGAGUAAGGAGUAAGGAGUGAUGGAAACAGGCAGUUCAUAUCUUUUUAAAAAAUAUUUAUUCUUUUUAGUUGUAGUUGGACACAAUACCUUUAUCACUUUAUUAUUAUAUGGUGCUGAGGAUUGAACCCAGGGCCUCACACAUGCUAAGUGAGCGCUCUACCGCUGAGCUACAACCCCAGUCCCAGUUCAUAUCUUAAUACAAGUCAGUGGAGGCCUGAGUUAAUCUUGGGUGCAAAAGAUGUUCAUUCACCGAGGCACAGCACCCACCCCACUAAAAGCUAGUCCAGCUAAGACCACUGACAGCAUCUGAUCCCGUCUGGAGGCAGCAAGCUUUCCUUUAACCUGGCUUGAUAGUUCUAAGACCCUUUAAACCUGCCAGGUUCUCAAAUAUUGCAUACAAAGCACCAAUGACCCCUGAGAGAAGACAAUCUUUAUUUUUACAACUGUUCCAUACACACACUCAGCUACUCAUAAGUUCCUUCUAGUCAUCCUAUUUCUUUCCUAGUUCCUAUAAGAAAACUGGCAAAUUCCUUUUAACCAUGAUCCACUGGUGGAAUAGCAGUAUGGUUGCUUUAACGACCCUUGUUUUGCAGCCACUGUGGCACAGAACCUGAUAUCCACCCUCUAGGACAUGUGACAUGUGGUCACACAUACCAAUCCCAAUCACCACUGUUGGAGACAGUUGUAUAUAACUACUAAGUCAUCUCUGUAUGUACAAUGAACCCCUUAGAAAGCAGUGGUGAGAUGUGGAGAUUAAGAAUUAUUGUAAGUCAGCUAAAUUCAUUUCUGGACAAGAGCAAACUGAUUCAGCUUAAAUCAGAUUCAAUGGCUGUAGAAAUUUGGUUAUGUCCCCAAGUACUUCCUCCUACCUAGAGGAGGCCUCAUACAGUAGAGGCACUGAUUAUCUGAGGGGGAUGUGUGUAUGGAAGUGUGGGAAAGGGAAGGGGAGGUUGUAAGGGAUGUUUAGGACCUUGGACUAAAUUUCUGUGUCCCAUGAAAUCAGUAAGUAUACAUUAAGACUGUCUAGGCUUGCUUUCCCUCAAACUGGGGCUGGUGGCAUGGGAGGCCUAUCACAGACACCUCAAGACCAUCAUGAAGGGGAUGGCACACAAAAGUAAGGAGAGGGAGAUAUAGGCAUUAUCUCCUGGGGGCAUCAGGGCUUUCCCCAAAGUUCACACAAAUGGGGGCUGCUGUGAAAGCAGUGUUAUAAGUAGCAAUCCCAUUCCAAGGGCGAGACCCUAUUCUCAACCUUAUCCUGGUCACCUCACAGAGACCCACAAUGGAAAAGUUGCAGAAGUGCUCUUUUAUGUUGGAUGUGUAAGAGCUGAGAAUAGAAAAUACCUGUAACUAUGCUUAUUCAUCUCAGGAGCCCAAGUGCCUACCACUACAGAAUAGAACAAAGAAUGCGUGGAUGGAUGGACAGAAGGGCAGAUAGGCUGGAUGCCCAACCCACAACUACAUCCUCCUUUGUGCCACUGAAAACUCAGUCUUGAAUCCUAGUCCAGUGCCCUAGAUUCAGACUGCAGAAAACUUAAAACAUAGCUCUUAAAGUUAUAAAGUCUAAGCUGUACAGGUCAUAAAGGACCAUUAUUCUAAACUCUUUUCAUGUGUGUGCAGGUGUAAAUAAGCCUUGAAUUCAGGAUCUAGAGCAUGCUAGAAAAGCAUUCUACUACUAAGCUAUACUCCCAACCUACCUCACCACUUUUUCAUUUUGGGCUAAGUUGCCAAGACUGACCUCAAAUUUGUAAUCCUCUUGCCUCAACCUCCUUAGUAGCUGGUAUUAUAG
Molecule: long non-coding RNA, 2090 nt
Filed under: Marmota monax (woodchuck)
Lineage: Eukaryota; Metazoa; Chordata; Mammalia; Rodentia; Sciuridae
Source: RNAcentral